This is a long non-coding RNA of Hirundo rustica (Barn swallow), 1960 nucleotides long. RefSeq lists it as uncharacterized. The record is from RefSeq and is a predicted model, not a curated record. Lineage: Eukaryota; Metazoa; Chordata; Aves; Passeriformes; Hirundinidae. The transcript is spliced from 3 exons.
CACCAGUUUAUCAAUAGCUCUGGGCUGUUUGUAAUCUAUCUGUGCUGUAGGCGCUGGUACCAGGCAUAGUAUAUCUGCAGAGUCCAACAGUGUUCAGUGUAAAGUGCAUCAGUACCUCAGGUGGCUUCUUCAUCUCUCAAAGCAUUUCAACCCUCAUUGCACCUUGAAGCACCCUUGAAGUGACAGAGCAUCAUGGGCCACCAGGAAAAAGAAGCCUUACAAAGUAGCAGCAACCAUCUGUUGUGUUUCUGACCCCAGCAAACUGCAAGAAGAAAGGUGCUGCUCGCUGAGCUGGUGUGACUGAAUGAGGAUGAUAGCCACUGCUGAGCUUUGUAAGCAACUGAGCCAAAUGCAGUUGUCAGCCAUGGAUUGUAUCUGGAGAUCUCUGCUGAUUUCACCUGAGCUUCUUCAGCUUUGCAUCCCUAUAACUAACGGUAGAAUUAUAUUAAACUGUUACUUUUUCUUUCUCUACCCUUUAUGAACGCUUAUAAGCAAACCAGAGUAUACUAUUUGACUAUUUAUUAGUACUUGUCUCUGAUAGAAUUGAAGUGUAUGCCUAACAAAAAGUUGUCUUUAAGUGGGGAACACUCACUCCCCAUAAACAAGGCAGGACAUAGUUGGGUUUUGCAAUGAUCUCUGCAUUUCCAUACUUUUGACUAAAAGCUAUACAUGAUCUGGAUCUAUGUAGAUUGGAGGGGAAUGCUGAAAUAAGGUUGGUCAAUGAAAACUUUUAAAAAUAAGUAAGACACAUUUUUAAAACUUCAUAUAUGUGUCUGUUUUGUCAUUGGUGUGAUUUGUAUGACACGUGCAUUUGUGUGAUGUCUGUGACCUGCAAUCUGUGCCAGAAUUUCAGUGGUAUAAUAUACACUGGACCAAAUGUCAGAUAUUGACUAACGCAGCCAUUAAAAGAACUAAGUGACAAAUGUUGUAGGAUUUUAAAUUUUGACACGGAUGGCAACAAUUUUGACACAGUUACAAUAUUCUAAAUCCUACGGCAAAGCUGAGGAGAAUUUUACAAAAACCUGCAUUAGAACGCUAAAGGACAGUUCCAAGAAGUGAACAUUUCCCAUUACAGCCGCUAAAAGGAACAGAUUAUCUAAGUCAUUCUUAUAAGAUCCUAUUGGCUUAGUCAGUUGUAUGUUAUUGGGAGUAUAUUUAACAGAGUUUCGCUGAACAAAAUUUUACCUGCCAGCAGUACUGGUGGGAUUGUGGCUGCUAGAAGUGAUUUGUUUAUCAAUGAAGUGAGCACAGCACUCUCCUGUGUGUGCAGUCGUAUUGGUGUCUGACAGUAUGGCCAAGGUCAGCCAGGUGAUAAAUCCAUUUGUCCCUUUUUGCCUUGAUCAUGUACCCAACCUCAGUCAUGGUUGUGAAGAAGAGGAUGAGAGAGGUAAGGCAGAUUUUCCUUGUGUGAUCAGAGAGCAAAGGCAAGAGGCAGAUUCUUUACACUGCCAGGAGCGUGUACAGCUGGGGAGAAUCAGCCCUCUCGUUUCAUGGCAGAUAAUCAGUUUCGUAUUUUCCGUGGCAACCAUUAAUACACUACAGCCUUAGCUGUAGGCCUAUAGGUAAAGCUGUUUGCUCUGACUGCUUUUCUGUUUGUCCCCUGACAGCUGAGGAUUCUCCAGCAAGUCCAUGGCAUGCAGGGAGAUGUCCUGUCCUGUCUGUGAGACAGCAGUCAGAGCAGACUUGGGCUCAUUAUCUUGUAGCUGUAUUGGGAGAUCUAACUGAUCUGGAAAUACAUGAAAGAAGCUCCUUCUCACGUACACACAGCAGGAGUGCACAUAAGCCAAAAGAUGGUCUUUCAAAAUUGACAGGUACUACCUCUAAAUCAUAUUCCCUGUUGCUCAUUUUUGUUAAUAUUGGAAUCAUUAUACUGAUUCUACUGAACUGACUAGAUCCUUUUGCCAAGCCAUGAUGCUGAAGUAGUACAAAAUAAGAACAAAACCUUGAUAAUACUCUAAGU